This 539-nucleotide long non-coding RNA is filed under the name Panax ginseng (ginseng). RNAcentral's name for it is "long non-coding RNA (PGIN_LNC017480)". Lineage: Eukaryota; Viridiplantae; Streptophyta; Magnoliopsida; Apiales; Araliaceae. The record is from RNAcentral.
UCCUCAGAAUAUGCCUUCGCUGUUCAUAUUCGAUCUCUGCAGAUGAGAACAGAGAGGAGAGAGAAGGAGGGAGACUCUGCAGAUGAGAACAUAUUCGAUCUCCACAUCAAUUACCAUUGUUUCCCCCAUUUCAAAACCCUAAUUGUGCCUGCAAUUUCUCAAAAAUCACAGGAUUGAAAAUUGAUACAAUAGGCCGAAAUGAAUGGAAAAUCAGACGCAAAUGACAUAGUAUAUUCAAUACAAACACAGCAAAACCCUCCAAAACAUAGCAGUAAAGGUAUCAAACAGCACAAAUAGGAAAUGAAUUAGUAGAACUACUAUUAAAUAAAUAAAUAAAUGGCUAUCAAAUCUAGAUCUGAAACCAGAAACCAAAAACCAAACCAAAUCAGUAGAGUCACAAACCGACUAGCUGAUAAGAGAAAACUACUCUCUUCUCUUCAGAACUUGAGUGCAGACCCGAAGAGGAAAGCGACGAACGUGAGAGCACAACCGACGGCGAACGACGGAGAAACAGAUCCGGCCGAAGACGUAGGGCUCGG